GAGUAACACGUGGGCAAUCUGCCCUUCACUCUGGGACAAGCCCUGGAAACGGGGUCUAAUACCGGAUAACACUCUGUCCCGCAUGGGACGGGGUUAAAAGCUCCGGCGGUGAAGGAUGAGCCCGCGGCCUAUCAGCUUGUUGGUGGGGUGAUGGCCUACCAAGGCGACGACGGGUAGCCGGCCUGAGAGGGCGACCGGCCACACUGGGACUGAGACACGGCCCAGACUCCUACGGGAGGCAGCAGUGGGGAAUAUUGCACAAUGGGCGAAAGCCUGAUGCAGCGACGCCGCGUGAGGGAUGACGGCCUUCGGGUUGUAAACCUCUUUCAGCAGGGAAGAAGCGAAAGUGACGGUACCUGCAGAAGAAGCGCCGGCUAACUACGUGCCAGCAGCCGCGGUAAUACGUAGGGCGCAAGCGUUGUCCGGAAUUAUUGGGCGUA
This 440-nucleotide ribosomal RNA is filed under the name Streptomyces sp. RNAcentral describes it as "bacterial SSU rRNA". It matches the Rfam family "Bacterial small subunit ribosomal RNA", at positions 108 to 562 of the family's 1533-position model. The record is from RNAcentral. Lineage: Bacteria; Bacillati; Actinomycetota; Actinomycetes; Kitasatosporales; Streptomycetaceae.